UCCUGCUUGCAGAAGAUCAUCAUAUUUCCCCGCCUGUAUAAUGCGCCCUUCCUUGAGAACCAGUAUUAGAUCAGCCGCUGGCAAAAAUUCAACUUGAUGGGUUACAAAAAUAACUGUCUUAGUUGCUAGUGCUGUUAAUAUGUAUUCCUUGAACAACUCAGAACCAGUGUGUGCAUCAACAGCACUGAAGGGAUCAUCAAGUAAAUAAAUAUCUGCAUCUUGAUAUAGUGCCCUUGCAAGCUGUACCCGCUGCUUCUGGCCACCACUCAAAUUUAUACCUCUAUCACCAAUGAUGGUCUGAUCGCCAUGUGAAAAAAGUUCCAAAUCUUUUUUCAGUGAACAAGCAUGGAUAGCGUUUUUGUACUUUGCUUUAUCCAUUGGGCUGCCAAAAAGAAUGUUUUCUUCAAUAUUUCCAGAUUGUAUCCAUGCUGACUGGGAAACAUAAGCAGCAGUACCACAAACUCUUACUUCACCAGAGAUUUUGGGAAUCUCCCCAAGGAUGCAAGAGAGAAAGCUUGAUUUUCCUGAGCCAACCAUGCCACAAACAGCUACACGCAUCCCUCUCUGCACCUUCACAUGAAUGCCUGAUAAAGUGGUCCUCGAAGAAGAAGAAGGGUCCCAACAGAACUCACCAUCAUUAACUUCUAUGGCCAUGUUUGUCAUACCUCGUGGCAAAACAAGGGUUGCAUCUGCCUGCAACUCUUCUUCCUGUAGGAAUCCAGAAAUUCGAUCAAGGGAAACUUUUGUCUGGGCCAUCAUUGACACUAAGUCAGGGAAAUUCCUAAGUGGUUCUUGUAGGAUUCUGAAGGUGGCCAGAGCAGAAAGAACACCUCCAGCAGUGAGCUGACCACCCAACAAUAUUGAAGUACCAAAAGUAACAACUGCAACAAAUAUGGGAGAACUCCAGAAAAUGAAUGUAAUAAAAGCUUGUGAGUAGAGGGCCUUACGGAGCCACCUGAACUCCACAUCCCGCAUCUCCUCCAACUUCACUCGAUACCUGUCCUCCCAAGCUUGCAGCUUCAGAAUCCUCAUAUUCCUCAGACACUCAGAAGUUUUCCUCAUCCUGUCAUCCUUUGCAGCCAUUAAUUUGUCUUGAUAAUCUUCUUGUAUCUUAGCCAAGGGCACAGUAACAAUGAUGGAUAUGAUAGUGGAAAUUAAAGUUGCAAUAGAAGCAAUUCCAACAUUCUUAUACAAAAUUGCAAGUGCAAGAAUUAUUUGCAAGGGAAGCAUCCAUAUGUCAUGGAGAUACCAAGAGUAGUCCCCCACUCUCUGGACAUCAACUGCCAUGUAAUUAACAAUUUCUCCACUAGUGUGACUUUGCUUGGCCAAGCUUGAGAGCCUGAGUCCUUUUCGGUACACCAUUGCUGUCAGAGCCGACCUGACAUGCAUGCCCAAAAUAUCAACACCAAGAUACCAUUGCCGGGUUGUUAAGGUCUCCACAAGCUUUGCCGAGAAGAAUAUCCCAGCAAGAAUAUAUCCUUCAUGAGGGAAAGUCUCCUUCCCCCCUAAAUACUCAACAAAGUAGCUUAUCAUGUACGGACCCACAUAUGAGACAAGUGUAUUUACCAAGGCAAAUAUGGCAUUGCAAGCCGCGUCCUUCCAGAAUGAAUUGAGAAUUGCCCAAGCUAAAGAAGGCUGCUUUGAAGGAUUUUCUGCCUUCAAUUUCUCCCAAUUCAAAUUCAAAACCUUAUAAUUGGACUUAGCUCGAUCUUUUGGAGCAAGAAGAGGAAUGUCCUUGAGCUCAAGCGGUCUCUUUGCACCAAUAGACAGAAGUGGGUUUAACCAUGAAAGAGUAGCCAAGCUAAACAAUCCAGCAUUACUAUAAGGAGUAACCUUGAGACACCCUGAUUCUUCUUCAAGAAGCAGUGGCUCUUGAAGAUCAGAAUUCCUACAAACUUGUAUUCCAGUAAUGCCUCUAAUUGCCACAAAACAUAGAAAAGCAAGAGCUGGAGUUGUAGCAAAAUUCACCAUAACAUGAGAACUCAAAUGC
Molecule: unclassified non-coding RNA, 1990 nt
Filed under: Hevea brasiliensis (rubber tree)
Lineage: Eukaryota; Viridiplantae; Streptophyta; Magnoliopsida; Malpighiales; Euphorbiaceae
Source: RNAcentral